UGGGCAUUGUGGCUCUUGGACACGCCUGUUGCUACUUGACAAGCCACAGGCUUAUCUGUUCAGCACUGAGAGAAGUUUCCGUAUCAAGAGCCUGCCUCUGAGGGAACGGACUGUGGACAGUGGUCAAGGAGAAAUUCCUCUUCUGAUUAGUUUUAUUGCCCCUGUGACAUCUGAGGAGUAUGAAGUAGGCUGGUAAUUCAAUCCUAGAAGGAAAUUGGAAUAUUAAAGAAACAGCUUAUUGUUGCAAUCCCAUCAAACUUGCCUCUUCCAGUGGCAGUGAGAAGCUCCAUUGUGGGUGGAGAUGGAUUUAGGAACGACUUUCUGCAUGAAAAUGGCAUUUCAACUGGACAUAGAAAGAUCAUCUGGAGGGAAGUUGGAGACAGCUUGGGGACCGAGGAGUAUUCCAAAGUACAACGGGUCCAGAGCCAAGGGUUGCAGGUGGGCUCCAGAAGCUGGAAAAGGCAAGGAGACAGAUGCUCCUCUGGAACCUCCUGGAAGAAGUACAGCCUUGCUCACCUCCCGAUUUUAGCCCAACGAGUCUGUCCUCAGAUUUCUGACCUCCAGAACGGUAAGAUAAUAAAUUUGUAUUAUUCUGUGCCGUUCGGUAUACGGUGAUUUCUUACGGCAGUCAUUUUCGAAAGUAAUACACAUGCUGGGUUCUGAGAGAAUUAUCAGACGCCUGGAGCGUUACCGUAUCGAUGCCCCGGGGCUCUGUGUGGUCGGUGAGAGCCGCACGGGCUUCUAGCAGGUGUUGGUGUCUGGAGCAGCUGAGUGGUAGCUUCAAGGUUCUGUGGAGUUGCUUGAUUUAGAACGGGACUUGGCCAGUUGUCAGGGGCCUGGUUGGGACCAGCUCCUAGCAAGUGAUCGGGCGGCGUCUCCAAGUACGAGUCGGUGAGGUUUGAAGGGAUGUGGAGUUCUGUGGUCUGGAACAUAGGAUCAAGAGCAGUGCUGUCCAGUGGGAGCACAAACACCCUAUGCGAGUCGGUUUUCAGUCUUCAGAGAAUAUAUUUUAUACUUUUUCUCUAUCUUCCGAAGUUCAGACUUUUAGAAAAAGGAAGCACAUGUUGUUCAAAAAACAGUUAUUGAUUUUUUUUUUUUUUUUUUUUUUUGCGGUACACGGGCCUCUCACUGCUGUGGCCUCUCCCAUUGCGGAGCACAGGCUCCGGACGCGCAGGCGCAGCGGCCAUGGCUCACGGGCCCAGCCGCUCCGCGGCAUGUGGGAUCUUCCCAGACUGGGGCACGAACCUGUGUCCCCUGCAUCCAUUUUGAAAUGGGAAUUAUAUCAGACUGUUGGCUCAGAAAAUAUAAAAAGACAAUGGAAACACACGUUGUUUGUUUCAACAUGAUGGAAAUAGAAAAUAAUUCUCAGCAAGAAAACAUCACCCAAAGGCAA
This is a long non-coding RNA of Orcinus orca (killer whale), 1393 nucleotides long. RefSeq lists it as uncharacterized. The transcript is spliced from 3 exons. NCBI's taxonomy places the organism in Eukaryota, Metazoa, Chordata, Mammalia, Artiodactyla, Delphinidae. The record is from RefSeq and is a predicted model, not a curated record.